This is a non-coding RNA of Pimephales promelas (fathead minnow), 541 nucleotides long. Lineage: Eukaryota; Metazoa; Chordata; Actinopteri; Cypriniformes; Leuciscidae. The record is from RefSeq and is a predicted model, not a curated record.
UCAGUGGCAACUAGGGCGAGUGGUUGAAACUACAGAAGGGUCAGAUGGCUUAGUUCGUCGGGUAAAGGUACAAAUUGGGGAGCGGAAAGUAACACAGAAACAGAACCCCCGAUGUAAGCCCUCAAUCAUUGAAAGGCCCAUCCAAAAGCUGGUGCUCCUCCUUGAAAACAAUUAACGGUCUGUAGUACACUCAAGUACACUUACAUCAGACAUGUUGGUUUAUUGAUUUUAUUCAAGGUGUCCCUAUUUUGUUCUGUAGCUCCAUGCUUAGGCAGUUAUAGAACUCUAGAAAUCAUGUAUGAGUAACUGUUUUGUUUUCCAUGCUGAGUUCAUUUAUCAUAACAUGAUUUGGUGGGAGUGUAAGUGGCCACUGGAGGCCGCUAGAGGUAGUAUAUUCUUAGUGAGGUAAUUCAUGUGACUGGGUUGGAGGCUGUGCACCCAGGAACCUGUAUAACUAAUAAUUCGAUUUGCACUUGCCUGACUUCUCUCAUCUCCGAAGAUCAGGGACAUUUCAGAGACCUUCAAGCUAGCGGCUAAUUCC